UCUCCAACAAGCCUUACCCAAAAUACAAGACCUAUAUGAAGUUUAGGUAGUGCUACAAGCAAAAGGUUCUAUACUCGUUUUUAGUCUUGUCUAAUAACAAGACGAUAAUCCAUCCUGCAAAUGGGUCUCGAGGAGAGAGAAUACGUAUAUUUGGGUUAUGUCUUUUCUAAUAUCCAAAAUAGAUCUAUAGGUAUUAUGUUGGAGAUCUAUUUUAAAUUUGGGUUUUCUAAUGAGUCUGAGAUAGCAUAGUGUCUUUUUUAGAAAAGAAAGUCCUUUGGGCCUUGUUUAAUUCCUGAAGGAAAAAUUUUGCAACACUGUAUCAGUUUCGUUUGUUUGUGCUAAUUAUUGUCUAAUCAUAGACUAACUAAACUCAAAACAUUUGUCUCGUCAAUUCCGAUCAAACUGUGUAAUUAGUUUUUAUUUUUAUCUAUAUUUAAUAUUCAUGCAUGCGUCUAAAGAUUCGAUGUGACGAUGAAACUUGAAAAAAUUUUAAGUUUUUGGGUGGAAGUAAACAAGCCUUGGUUUUUUUAUAUGCACUCACGGGCAUCCGUACGAGAUGGUUCACGAAAGUCAAGGCAUUUUCAUGUGUUCUGUUUACACAAGGAAAAAAACCAAUAAUGGCUGGCAUGCCAUCACUUUUCCUUACAUUCCAUAGCGUCUUUUUCUGUUUUAUCAAUCAGUUUGGUAAUACUGUUUCAGAUAACACGAUCGGUGGAGUAUCCGGCGCUCUCGUCUUAUCCGGAGCGAGAGCGAGAGCGAGCGCACGGCCGCGGCCGCCGUACGGAUGGAGACGUUAUGUUAUGUGAUCCAAUCCACGACUCCACAGCACGUAGGACAACUAGCGAUAA
This 848-nucleotide long non-coding RNA is filed under the name Sorghum bicolor (sorghum). RNAcentral describes it as "long non-coding RNA (SBIC_LNC016884)". Lineage: Eukaryota; Viridiplantae; Streptophyta; Magnoliopsida; Poales; Poaceae. The record is from RNAcentral.